This 301-nucleotide ribosomal RNA is filed under the name uncultured bacterium. Its description in RNAcentral is "partial 16S ribosomal RNA". It matches the Rfam family "Bacterial small subunit ribosomal RNA", at positions 509 to 807 of the family's 1533-position model. The record is from RNAcentral.
CAGCCGCCGCGGUAAAACGAAGGGGGCUAGCGUUGUUCGGAAUUACUGGGCGUAAAGGGCGCGUAGGCGGCCAUUCAAGUUAGAUGUGAAAGCCCUGGGCUCAACCUAGGAAUUGCAUUUGAUACUGUUUGGCUUGAGUUCGGGAGAGGCGAGUGGAAUUCCCAGUGUAGAGGUGAAAUUCCUAGAUAUUCGGAAGAACACCAGUGGCGAAGGCGGCUCACUGGCUCAUACUGGACGCUGAGGUGCGAAAGCGUGGGGAGCAAACAGGAUUAGAUACCCCCGUAGUCCCUGUCUCUUAUAC